AAUAGAUACCCGGGUAGUCCUAGCUGUAAACGGUGCCCAUUUGCUGUAAACGGAAUCGACCCCCGUUUGUGGCGAAGCUAACGCGAUAAAUGCGCCGCCUGGGAAGUACGGUCGCAAGAUUAAAACUCAAAGAAAUUGACGGGGGCCUGCACAAGCGGUGGAGUAUGUGGCUUAAUUCGAUGCAACGCGAAGAACCUUACCUGGCCUUGACAUGCAAGUAGUAGAACCAUGAAAGUGGGACGAUCCCGCAAGGGAAGCUUGCACAGGUGCUGCAUGGCUGUCGUCAGCUCGUGUCGUGAGAUGUUGGGUUAAGUCCCGCAACGAGCGCAACCCUUGUGUCCUGUUGCCACUCCUUCGAGAGAAGGAAGCACUCUGGACAGACUGCCUCGCUUAAACGAGGAGGAAGGUGGGGAUGACGUCAAGUCAGUAUGGCCCUUACGGCCAGGGCUGCACACGUACUACAAUGCAUGGCACAAAGGGAAGCUAGACCGUCAGGUGGAGCAAACUCCCAAUAAAACCAUGCCC
This 525-nucleotide ribosomal RNA is filed under the name uncultured bacterium. RNAcentral's name for it is "bacterial SSU rRNA". It matches the Rfam family "Bacterial small subunit ribosomal RNA", at positions 777 to 1289 of the family's 1533-position model. The record is from RNAcentral.